AGACUAGAACGUUGAUAGGCAGGGUGUGUAAGCGUUGUGAGGCGUUGAGCUAACCUGUACUAAUUGCCCGUGAGGCUUAACCAUACAACACCCAAGGGGUUUUGUA
RNAcentral lists this ribosomal RNA (106 nucleotides) under Vibrio cholerae. RNAcentral describes it as "partial 23S ribosomal RNA". The stretch from base 1 to 84 matches the Rfam family "Bacterial large subunit ribosomal RNA", at positions 2842 to 2925 of the family's 2925-position model. Lineage: Bacteria; Pseudomonadati; Pseudomonadota; Gammaproteobacteria; Vibrionales; Vibrionaceae. The record is from RNAcentral. RNAcentral also lists the same sequence under 1 other name.